Molecule: ribosomal RNA, 274 nt
Filed under: uncultured bacterium
Lineage: Bacteria
Description: partial 16S ribosomal RNA
Rfam family: Bacterial small subunit ribosomal RNA
Source: RNAcentral
AUACGGAGGGUGCAAGCGUUGUUCGGAAUCAUUGGGCGUAAAGGGCGCGCAGGCGGUUUGGUAAGUCAGAUGUGAAAGCCCACGGCUCAACCGUGGAAGUGCAUUUGAAACUGUCAGACUUGAGUACUAGAGGGGAAAGUGGAAUUCCCGGUGUAGAGGUGAAAUUCGUAGAUAUCGGGAGGAAUACCGGUGGCGAAGGCGACUUUCUGGCUAGAUACUGACGCUGAGGCGCGAAAGCGUGGGGAGCAAACAGGAUUAGAAACCCGUGUAGUCC